CCUACGGGUGGCAGCAGUGAGGAAUAUUGGUCAAUGGGCGGGAGCCUGAACCAGCCAAGUCGCGUGAAGGAUGACUGCCCUACGGGUUGUAAACUUCUUUUAUAGAGGAACAAAGUGAGGCACGUGUGCCUUUUUGUAUGUACUUUAUGAAAAAGGAUCGGCUAACUCCGUGCCAGCAGCCGCGGUAAUACGGAGGAUCCGAGCGUUAUCCGGAUUUAUUGGGUUUAAAGGGUGCGUAGGUGGGUCGUUAAGUCAGGUGUGAAAGUUUGGGGCUCAACCGUAAAAUUGCCAUUGAAACUGGCAGUCUUGAGUACACUAGAGGUAGGCGGAAUGCGUGGUGUAGCGGUGAAAUGCUUAGAUAUCACGAAGAACUCCGAUUGCGAAGGCAGCGUACU
RNAcentral lists this ribosomal RNA (395 nucleotides) under uncultured bacterium. Its description in RNAcentral is "partial 16S ribosomal RNA". It matches the Rfam family "Bacterial small subunit ribosomal RNA", at positions 338 to 730 of the family's 1533-position model. The record is from RNAcentral.